AUACGGAGGGUGCAAGCGUUAUCCGGAAUCAUUGGGUUUAAAGGGUCCGUAGGCGGAUAAUUAAGUCAGGGGUGAAAUCCCACAGCUCAACUGUGGCACUGCCUUUGAUACUGGUUAUCUUGAGUUAUAGGGAAGUAGUUAGAAUAUGUAGUGUAGCGGUGAAAUGCAUAGAUAUUACAUAGAAUACCGAUUGCGAAGGCAGUCUACUAUCUGUAUACUGACGCUAAGGGACGAAAGCGUGGGGAGCGAACAGGAUUAGAAACCCUAGUAGUCC
This 274-nucleotide ribosomal RNA is filed under the name uncultured bacterium. Its description in RNAcentral is "partial 16S ribosomal RNA". It matches the Rfam family "Bacterial small subunit ribosomal RNA", at positions 523 to 796 of the family's 1533-position model. The record is from RNAcentral.